Long non-coding RNA from Centruroides sculpturatus (bark scorpion), 506 nucleotides. RefSeq lists it as uncharacterized. The record is from RefSeq and is a predicted model, not a curated record. The transcript has 3 exons. Lineage: Eukaryota; Metazoa; Arthropoda; Arachnida; Scorpiones; Buthidae.
AAAAUAUUGGCAAGACUUCGAUGAAAUAGACUCUUCUGUGUUUGUUAUUUGACUUUUGAAAUGCUUGCAGUAGUAGGACAGUGAGUGUUUCACCCGCUGCGAAUUUCACCCACAGAGGCGCCGAGCAACCUGCCCCUAUGACCCCCACGACCCCUUUAUCGACAGGAGCUCGAGGCCAUCACCUGAUGUAACCAUCACGUGGCCUUCCGUCGAUGUUAUAAAUCAUGCGGAAGAUACGUGAAUAUAGGAUAGAAGUCACCCGAACUUAUAGUAAAUUUAGAAGUUUGAUUCAAGAAGUUGGAGAUUCGUCAUUAUUCAUAAUUAAACCAGCUGUUCUCAAUCCCUUUUCACUCGCAAACAUCUGAGCCUUCUAUGUAUAGACUUGUAGCACUAACGUAUCCUUCUUGCGUACCCUCGGUGGUACGUGUACCACUGAUUGAGAAUUGCUAGUGAAAACAGUUAAAGUUUAAACUAGUUAAUUCUUUUAUUUGUAUUUCUUUUUAUGC